GGCUUCGGUCUGGUGGCGAGUGGCGAACGGGUGAGUAAUAUAUCGGAACGUACCUUUCAGUGGGGGAUAACGUAGCGAAAGUUACGCUAAUACCGCAUAUUCUGUGAGCAGGAAAGCAGGGGAUCGCAAGACCUUGCGCUGAUUGAGCGGCCGAUAUCGGAUUAGCUAGUUGGUGAGGUAAAGGCCCACCAAGGCGACGAUCCGUAGCUGGUCUGAGAGGACGACCAGCCACACUGGAACUGAGACACGGUCCAGACUCCUACGGGAGGCAGCAGUGGGGAAUUUUGGACAAUGGGGGCAACCCUGAUCCAGCCAUUCCGCGUGAGUGAAGAAGGCCUUCGGGUUGUAAAGCUCUUUCGGCAGGAACGAAACGGUCUCACCUAAUACGUGGGGCUAAUGACGGUACCUGAAGAAGAAGCACCGGCUAACUACGUGCCAGCAGCCGCGGUAAUACGUAGGGUGCGAGCGUUAAUCGGAAUUACUGGGCGUAAAGCGUGCGCAGGCGGUUUUGUAAGUCAGAUGUGAAAUCCCCGGGCUCAACCUGGGAACUGCGUUUGAAACUACAAGGCUAGAGUGUAGAAGAGGGGGGUAGAAUUCCACGUGUAGCAGUGAAAUGCGUAGAGAUGUGGAGGAAUACCGAUGGCGAAGGCAGCCCCCUGGGCUAACACUGACGCUCAUGCACGAAAGCGUGGGGAGCAAACAGGAUUAGAUACCCUGGUAGUCCACGCCCUAAACGAUGUCUACUAG
This 747-nucleotide ribosomal RNA is filed under the name uncultured bacterium. RNAcentral's name for it is "bacterial SSU rRNA". It matches the Rfam family "Bacterial small subunit ribosomal RNA", at positions 76 to 819 of the family's 1533-position model. The record is from RNAcentral.